This 74-nucleotide transfer RNA is filed under the name Halobacteriales archaeon QS_4_62_28. RNAcentral describes it as "tRNA-Arg". It matches the Rfam family "tRNA". Rfam says of the family: Transfer RNA (tRNA) molecules are approximately 80 nucleotides in length. Their secondary structure includes four short double-helical elements and three loops (D, anti-codon, and T loops). Further hydrogen bonds mediate the characteristic L-shaped molecular structure. tRNAs have two regions of fundamental functional importance: the anti-codon, which is responsible for specific mRNA codon recognition, and the 3' end, to which the tRNAs corresponding amino acid is attached (by aminoacyl-tRNA synthetases). tRNAs cope with the degeneracy of the genetic code in two manners: having more than one tRNA (with a specific anti-codon) for a particular amino acid; and 'wobble' base-pairing, i.e. permitting non-standard base-pairing at the 3rd anti-codon position. The record is from RNAcentral. Lineage: Archaea; Methanobacteriati; Methanobacteriota; Halobacteria; Halobacteriales.
GGGCGUGUGGCCUAGUGGACCAGGGUGAGGGGUUCCUAACCCCUAGAUCGCGGGUUCGAAUCCCGCCGCGCCCG